CUCCUGCUCGUGCCACAGAAGGAUCCACUGACCUGUCACCCGAGGCGUGGGAAAACGGAGACAACGCACGCUCCUCAUCUCUCUCCUCCUUAGCUGCACCACACAUCUCCUCACCCCAUACACAUACACCAGCGACCACACAGUUUAUCCAACGACAGAAACGAAAAGAGGGACGCUGCAAACGGAUGUCUUCGCCACCGGUAUCAAACCCGUCGUCCCAGCUGUCUGCCGCGGCCGGCGCUGCGACCAUCACUGCAGCCAAGAAGACAGAUGACGUCUCUGACCUCAUGGCGGCGAUUCAGAGCGUUCUGGUGGAGCAUAAUGUAAAGGAUGCCCGAUUCAUUCUCGAGCUACCAUCAACGCCCGCCGCUGCUUCCACUGUCGUGACUGCUGUCCAUGCUGACGCGCCGGGGACCUGGGGAGCGGGUAAUGCGUCAUCGGUGACUGCACCGGUCGACUCUUCUGCGCCGAGCACUGAAGGAGGCGUGACCACCGCUACUCUUCUGAUGGGGAUGCAGACCACCCCCGCUGCGGUCCCAACCCCUCCACCGGAGCAUCAGCGACCCCCACCUCGCGCUCGGUCUCCCUCAGAGCGGCAGCGAUCUCCAGCCUCGUAUCACUCCGAGUCUCUCCAGGGGCAUGCCCUUCCCGCGCCCUCCGCCUUGCAUUCAGGUUCUCCUCCGCUGAACGACAGCAUAAGCUCGCUGGGUGCCACUGCGCGCCCAGCGCCGGUGGCGGCCGUCGGCGAUGCGAGCGGAACGCAAAUGACACCGAGUGCGGCAGCGGAGGAAGGUCCCGUGAACACCAUCCUCGCACAGCCGCCGGCUCAGCCGCAUCCGCCACCUCCGAGAAGCGCUGUCGAUGCCAUCACCUCGGAUGGCUCUGCGGACGUUCUCACAGGCGAGGCCGCUGCAGAGAUCUGCCGCGUGUCGAAUCAGCUCGCGCAUGAUAUUGCGGUCGCCGAGGCUCAAAUGUCGCGGAAGGAAAUUCUGCAGAAAUUUGUAGGCCGUAGCGUCAUCCUCGAAGAUAGGCGGCAGCGUGAGGCGCAGCAGCUGGCUCAGGCGUCAACGAUGCCGUGGAACGGCAUCCCGCAUCCUGCAGUGCCGUUCAAGGCGGAUGCGGCUAGCGCGCAUACCAAAGCAUCUUCACAGCCUCGCCGCGGCAUUCCAACGGCCGCUACCAAGCCUCCUGUGCAGAAGCUCAGCGCCGACCCCACGAUCCCUAGUGGCUCCGUGGCGAGCGCUUUCUCGCCCGCCGUAUUAUCUCCUCCUCCACCGGAACCACAACAGCCGCAGCGUCGCAGCAUCGUGCGCCUAACCCCGCCAUCGAGAACCCCCGUCCACAGCGGUGGCAACGGCGCCCGCGGCUCCGUUCUGUCGGAUAGCAGCUCCCUACCCUCUCUCGUGUCGGCCAAGAAGUCCGCCGUACCUGGCAAGACGCCCGUCUUCAGCAUUCUCAACAAGGAUGGGAGCCGCCUGCUCGAUCAAGGCGGUGCCGCGAUGACGCUGCGGACGUCGUUGUCCGGGGCUCUAGCGAAGGCAGGAGGCGCAUGUGUAGCCGCGGCAGGGGCGGCCACGAAUGGCGGUGACGCGACAGAGGCGAGCCGGUCCAGCAGCAACAGCAACAGCAACAAUACUAGCAUCUCCCAUAUCCGUCAAUCACGCCCCAGCAGCGUUUCCCUCCUCGCCGACGACCGCGCGCCGCCGUCGCCGGUGCACGAGCCGCUGCUUGGUGUGGCGGCUGAGGAAGAGGCGAACCGGCAGCGCAGCAUACUCAUGCAAACCCAGCCCCGCUCCCCCACGCCGGAGCCCCAGCCGGUGGAGAGUGCCAUCAACAGGGAAGAUGGGGAGGUGCUGCGGAAGAUGCUGUCGGAACAGAGCAAGAACAACACACGUCGCGCCUUGCAGCUGCAGAACCAGUCACGCCUCUCGCACACGACACAGAUGGCGGCCACGCCGGUGAUCGGAAAGAACCAACCCAGCGCUUCCGGCACAUUUUCCACUGCAUCGACUCCGCGUUCGCCGUCUAGGCCGUCUACUUCGGCUGCCGCCGCGUCUUCUCAACCUUCUCUGCGUGCUAUGCUGCAGGAGCAGCGGCAGCUGCAAGACGCCAGUCGCCGCAGCAUGGAGGAGCACAAUCGACUUAUGCAAGCGGCUCGAGCUGCACGAACGCCGGCGUCCGCGUCGUCGAAUGCGUUCGAGACAUCUAAGAUACCAGCGGUGAGGCUCGCGACCCCGCCAGCGCACGCGACGCCGGCAGCGACCGGCGCCGCAGCUGCCGCACCGGUGACGGUGCAGGAGGACGACGCGGCGCACCGGAAGCGCGGCAUUGCCACCUUGGCACGAGCGUCGUCGCCGGGGCGCAACACGAACGGCACAUUCACGCCCAGCACCUCCGGUAUUCAAGUUGUGAAGUUCACGCUUCCCCACGAGGAGGAGGCGCGGCAGGCGGCGGUGCAGCAGCUGUGUCGCAGCUCCUCAGGGACGCAGCAUCUGGACACCAAGGACCGCUAUCGCGCCCUCCUGGCUGAGCAGCAGAACGAGUUCACUGCACAGGAGGCGAAGGCACAUGACUACAAGGUUCUACUGAACCGCGCUGUCGAGUUCAAUCGCUUCCAGCAGCAGCAACAAACCAAGCCGUCUUAGAGAGCCAACCAACCGGUGCCCGCCACAAUUUGUGCGGCUUGAUGGUUCGUCGAGGCGGUGGUGACGAUGCGCCUUCGCGCCCGCGCCGUCCCCACGGGGAGGGCUUAUGUACAUAACACCAACGUAAAACAUGUAUUUUUCUCUACCGCUCUUUGUGCAUAUGCUGAUGUACACAGACUGACAUGGGCGUGGCGGACUUCGAUGUAUAUGAAUAAGCGAAAAAAGGGAGGGCACCCCCACCCUUCAAAAGACUAGCAAGUACCGUUGAUUCGGUGUCGUUCUCACUGUGUGUAUGCGUGUGUGUGUGUCUCGUGCGCUGACGUCAGCCUCCGACACACCUCUACCUACCCCCUUUCCAGCCCCUUUCCCACCAGCAGUUUAUCCGUUGCCCAUGUACAUUGAGCAGACGAAUACACAGCAGGCAGAGAGCGAGGGAGAGGGAGCGGGAGGGAGCACACGGCGGCCAUGCCAGAUGUAUGUAUAUAUAUAUAUGUAUGUAUAGCUCUAUGCAGAUGUAUAUGUGCAUACAUAUCUAUAUAUAUAUAUAUGUAUAUCUGUAUCUAUGUAUACACACGCUUGUAAUCGGUGUUUAGUUGAUAUGGAAUGUAAUCCGAGAAGAAGCUCACGAGAAAGAGAGCUGGAGAAGGAACAGCAAGAGAAGAAGGACAGGCACACAGACAGAGACACAGACGCAGACGCAGACAGGGGUGAACGAAAACGAGCAAGGACAAGAACCGCAACACAGGCAACAAUAAGAUUGCUCCACUUCCCCCUACCUUUCCGUCCGUGUGUGUCUGGGUGUCUGUGCAUGCUUCUUGCUCCCUUCCUAUCCGAUCUCACUUCUGUGUUACGUUUCGCGUCGGGCUGCACUCUGUCUUUUCUUAUGAGUAUUCUUCACUCGUGCAUCUGCGCUCUUUCCCGUCCGCGCCUUUUUCUCUCAUCAUUAUGAUCUCGUCCUCUCGUCGCGCACACGUGUGCAAGCGAUAAGGAUACCGGACUCCCUCCUUCUCCCCCUCCCUCUCCUCGCCACGCUUCACGACUUGUUGCUGUUUGAAUCUGUGUUGCUUCCCCUCUUCUUUGUAUCUUUUUCUGUCUUGUGAUUUCACCUACCUUCGGAACGAUGCAGUGAUGUCGGCACGGCCGCUACACACAAGUACACAUACAUACAGACGCUGCUUCUCCUCCUCCUCUCCUCCGGGACGCGUCACGGUUUCGCGCUGAUCCUUCUUCGCACAGAGUACAUUCUCUCUUGUCUGUUUGAUUUGCCGCCACGCUGCGUACGUGCUCGACUGUAUCCCUUACAUCGCAUCUCCCCUCUCUCCCUCCCUCCCCCAAACUUCCUCGCUGCCAACCUCGCUCGGUUUCUCAAGUGGGGAAACGCUGCGGUUGUGAAAGGGGGAGAGGUAAGAGGGGAGACUAUGGGCGGCGGCGCGGGCAUAUGUGUUUUUGUGCACCUCUCUCUCGCUAUCUCUGCGAGCGUGUGUGCACGGAGGCUCGAUCGCCAUUCUUUUCCUUUGCGCUUCGCAUGUAAGCGGCAGUCGUUUUCUGCGUGAUGCUUGUGUGUGUGCGUGUAGCGAAGCUGUCCUUGAGGCGGGUCGAUGCUGGAACAUAUCUUCUC
Molecule: unclassified non-coding RNA, 4263 nt
Filed under: Leishmania donovani
Lineage: Eukaryota; Euglenozoa; Kinetoplastea; Trypanosomatida; Trypanosomatidae
Description: gene:LdHU3.17.0580(CDS-product:hypothetical_prote in_conserved)
Source: RNAcentral